GGGGUUGUAGCUUAGUGGUAAAGCAUUUGCCUAGUAUGUAGGAUUUCAUCCCCA
Molecule: transfer RNA, 54 nt
Filed under: Dipodomys ordii (Ord's kangaroo rat)
Lineage: Eukaryota; Metazoa; Chordata; Mammalia; Rodentia; Heteromyidae
Source: Rfam by way of RNAcentral